GGCUGUGGCUCAGUGGCAGAGUGCUUGCCUCGUAUGUGUGAGGCACUGAGUUCGAUCUCCAGCACCA
RNAcentral lists this transfer RNA (67 nucleotides) under Marmota monax (woodchuck). Its description in RNAcentral is "tRNA.Thr". Lineage: Eukaryota; Metazoa; Chordata; Mammalia; Rodentia; Sciuridae. The record is from RNAcentral.